Molecule: small nucleolar RNA, 50 nt
Filed under: Leishmania braziliensis MHOM/BR/75/M2904
Lineage: Eukaryota; Euglenozoa; Kinetoplastea; Trypanosomatida; Trypanosomatidae
Source: RNAcentral
GCAGCCUAGGAAACCAGUGCAUGCGCGAGACUUGUGCUGCGCUGCUGCCG